AAGUCGUAACAAGGUUUCCGUAGGUGAACCUGCGGAAGGAUCAUUAACACGUAUCCAACGUUAAAACCCCCCCGUGAACCUUCAGUGUGCUCGUACGCUUUGUUAGAAAGUAGCAAUCCCUGGUAAAUCAUCGCCGAACAGUUUUGAUUCAGGGACUUCUGCGAAGAGUGUGCUUGUAGCGCGAGGCAAGUGGCCUGGCAUCCUUGUCUGAAAGUGUCAAGGGUGGCGCAGUCACGAUCGCUAGAGGCCGACACGGCCGGCGACCGGGUCACCGGGCUCACGCCCCUUUAUCACCCCACAGUUUCCGACUGAUAAUACGGACGCCGUAAAAAACUGAACAACUGUUAACAAUGGAUAUCUUGGUUCUC
This 368-nucleotide unclassified non-coding RNA is filed under the name fungal sp. Its description in RNAcentral is "partial internal transcribed spacer region". The stretch from base 1 to 46 matches the Rfam family "Eukaryotic small subunit ribosomal RNA", at positions 1786 to 1831 of the family's 1831-position model. The record is from RNAcentral. Lineage: Eukaryota; Fungi.